Non-coding RNA from Mus caroli (Ryukyu mouse), 529 nucleotides. The record is from RefSeq and is a predicted model, not a curated record. NCBI's taxonomy places the organism in Eukaryota, Metazoa, Chordata, Mammalia, Rodentia, Muridae.
GUCGCUCCAAGGACCAUUUGAAGCACAGGGCGAGGAAGGAAACUAGCCGCUCACCUAGUCCUUCACCUCCAGAUCCUCCCUUCAGAAUGCAGCUUUUCCUCCUCCUGGCCGCCCUGCUGAGCGCUGCAGCUGCUCUGCCAAUCCCUCUUGGACAAUCCGGAGGAAGUUCCAGUGAACAGAGAUUUAACUUGUACGCACCACAAAUCCUGCCUUUCUUCCCUCCGUUUCCCCUUCCGCAGGCUCCUCUGAUCCCGAUUCCCUUUCCCUUCCCUUUUAAUCCAAAUCAGGUUCUGACACCUAAUCAGCUUCUGGAGUUAAUCACUUCUAUUUUGAACCAACUGCAGGGCUUCCUUGGGAGAUAAGCUUCACUGCUACAUCAGAAGGCUCGCACAGUGGUGCAGGUGUCCAGGUUACCUGCUCUGUUCUCUGCAGCUUGGAACAAUGGUCUUACCAUCUUGUAGACUCUAUAGAAUGUCCUGUGAAACAUCCAAUACCACAGGCAAAUCUAUUAUCUACAGCCAUUCAAUCU